Bemisia tabaci is the source of this 2029-nucleotide non-coding RNA. The record is from RefSeq and is a predicted model, not a curated record. Lineage: Eukaryota; Metazoa; Arthropoda; Insecta; Hemiptera; Aleyrodidae.
AGCGCACGGUAGAGCGCUAGACGGCAAUAAAGAAACCUUAAAACAAGACUAAAGCAACAAAAGAAACCUAAGUGUAUGAUUAGAUGUAUCGGUUGAAAUUGAAGGCUGACUAUAUACUGUAAUGUAACGUAGCGCGCGUAAGCUUAUAUACACGAAAAUCAACUUAAUAUCGCAAUUAUUGGGCCGAAAUCGUAAGAUUAUACUCUCUACCACCUUAACGAGUGAUCAAAACCCUAGAACACCAUAUAUGAAUCAACGCGUAAUGGAUUCCCAUUGUGCCUUUUCGCAAUUAGAACUUUCAAAAGUUUCCCUGUAAAAAGUUAUUUGCUUUGCAAAUAACUUAAAAUAUCCGUACGCGUGACGUCACAGAAUGACGCUCAGCCGCAUGGAGAGCGGUAGAGCGUACGGAUCUCGCACACGGAGCACCCGGGAGUGAAUGAUUAUUAUUUAUUAUUAAUUCCUCAUGAGUAGAUAAUAAGAUACAGAUUGAACGUUAACGCAUUUCCGUAUGCCUCGCUUGAUUUUUGCAGCCCAAGAGGAAAUGUGACUUGGUGUAAACUCAUCUAUUCAUAGGAAAAUUCUUUACUUCUACUCGAAAGUUGCGAUGAGCGAGGCCUAGACCAUGGAGUAUGAAGGAAGCUGGCCAAAGGAUGCUCCAUUAUAAGAUUUUUAGGAAAACCUACUGGGACGAUGACAACCUGCAGUCCAAAAUUUCUAAUCAAAAUAACAGGUUCUUUUUGUAGAACAUUGUCUUACAUCCUCAGUAGCAGAAGUACUUUGGCUGAAUUAUUCUCUACCAGGAAAGGAAAAAACAAAAUAUCUGGUUGAGGAAUGAUUUUUACUCUACUGUUUUUUGCUCUUCAGGGAAAAUUAGGCAAAUUCACUGGGAAUGGCCAUUGCAGGAACAUUCCUCUCUUUUUGCUCUGAGAUCAUACUAUUUUUCUAAACUGGGUGUCUGCUGAACUUGACUUGAAAGGAGAAACCAGACUAAAUAUAGCUAAGUUGAUUUUCGUCUUGAAAUCCGGAGGAAAAUCUUGUUUCCCCUCAAGAAAAGUUAGAGAUUAAUGAUUGGAAAUCCUUGGUUUUCAUCAGGGAAUAUUUCCAAGGAAAUUAGAAAGGAAUAAGUUAUUAUCAGGGAAUGGAAAAAAUCGUCAAUUCUAGACACUAAAUUUUAAAUAAAACUGCUAAAAUGUCACUUUAAAACUUUUUAUGCGUAAAAAAAAUCUACCAAAAAUUUGAAGAUAAACUGAUAGUUGGAUGGAAUUAAGCUAAACCGUCACAUUACAUGCAGUGUUUCCAAAUCUCAGCUCCUGUUCUAAAUUUUUGAAAAAAAACCAACUGACAUUUAUGCUUGAAAUUUUGUGGAACUUAACUUCAUGAAAGAAAGAAAAUUUACAACAAAUUCGAGUCGGUGUUGGUCGAUUUCCCUGUACAAAAUUAAAAUAUGAGAUGGGAUUCUGAAACACCACUUGUGAAUGUGACUAUUAUGCUUGACUCUCUCUAGUUAGUCUUUUUUGAAAAACUAAAAUGUGAGUGGACAUUCACAACAUAACACUUCGAUUUACAAUUUUAUUUUCACUUUAGUUAUUGAUAUAUAUUCCACGGUUACAUCAUACUUAUAGUCUUUGCUCUUCCUUUCAUGACACUAAGUAAGUAACCAGUUGUUCUGCUUUCUGAUGUGGUAAAAAAAUUGAACCCUCCCGAAGCUUUCUAUCUUAUGAUUGUUUCCCUUGCCAGUGUUAUUUCCUUUUAUUAACAUUUCUGACAAAUGGAAAUUAUGUGGAAUUUAAUCUUUUAUAAAAAAAAUGUUUCUGUGUAAGUAGCCCUUUCUAUUUUUUCUUCACUCUGUUUACUUUUUAUAUCUCAGUGUUACUCAUGCACAGUUAUCUUAGUCAAAUCUUACAUAGAUUUCUAAAUGCAUCCAUAAAUCAAAUAUAUAAAAUGAUUAUUAAAUUGUCUAUAAAAUAGAAAAUUCUGUGUUUUCACUUUAUUGAUUCAUUGCAAGAAUUAAAAUGUUAUCAUCAACUCA